CUCCUCGUCGUUCAAUGGAUAGGAUGCCUCCCUCCGAAGGAGGCGAUGUAGGUUCGAUUCCUACCGAGGGGA
Molecule: non-coding RNA, 72 nt
Organism: Candidatus Lloydbacteria bacterium
Lineage: Bacteria; Candidatus Lloydiibacteriota
Source: Rfam